GAGUGAAGUUUAGUAAUGAAGUCCGUGAGCUGUGCGUCAAGAAAAGCCGCCAUUGUUCAUACCAUACCCGUACCGUAAACCGACACAGGUGGAUGAGGAGAGAAUCCUAAGGCCGGCGGAAGAAGCAUUGUCAAGGAACUCGGCAAAAUGACCCCGUAACUUCGGGAGAAGGGGUGCCUGCGAGAGCAGGCCGCAGAGAAUAGGCUCAAGCAACUGUUUAGCAAAAACACAGGUCUAUGCGAAACCGAAAGGUGAGAUAUAUGGGCUGACGCCUGCCCGGUGCUGGAAGGUUAAGAGGAGAGGUUAGCGGUAACGCGAAGCUUUGAAUUUAAGCCCCAGUAAACGGCGGCCGUAACGAUAACGGUCCUAAGGUAGCGAAAUUCCUUGUCGGGUAAGUUCCGACCCGCACGAAAGGCGUAAUGAUUUGAGCGCUGUCUCGACAAUGCAUCCGGUGAAAUUGAAGUACCAGUGAAGAUGCUGGUUACCUGCGCCAGGACGGAAAGACCCCAUGGAGCUUUACUCCAGUUUGGUACUGGGAUCCGGUACUGCAUGUACAGGAUAGGUGGGAGGCUGAGAAUCGGUAACGCCAGUUGCCGAGGAGCCGCUGUUGGGAUACCACCCUUGCAGUAUUGGGUUUCUAACCAGCCGCCGUGACCCGGCGGUGGGACAAUGCCAGACGGGGAGUUUGACUGGGGCGGUCGCCUCCGAAAGGGUAUCGGAGGCGCCCAAAGGUUCCCUCAGGAUGGACGGAAACCAUCCAAAGAGUGCAAAGGCAGAAGGGAGCUUGACUGCGACACCGACGGGUGGAGCAGGUACGAAAGUAGGGCUUAGUGAUCCGGUGGUAUUAAGUGGGAAUGCCAUCGCUCAACGGAUAAAAGCUACCCUGGGAUAACAGGCUUAUCACUCCCAAGAGUUCACAUCGACGGAGUGGUUUGGCACCUCGAUGUCGGCUCAUCGCAUCCUGGGGCUGUAGUAUGUCCCAAGGGUUGGGCUGUUCGCCCAUUAAAGCGGUACGCGAGCUGGGUUCAGAACGUCGUGAGACAGUUCGGUCCCUAUCCGGCGUGGGCGUAGGAUAUCUGAGAGGAGCUGUCCUUAGUACGAGAGGACCGGGAUGGACGGGCCGCUGGUGCACCGGUUAGACUGCCAAGUCUAUAGCCGGGUAGCCAAGCCCGGAAGGGAUAAACGCUGAAGGCAUCUAAGCGUGAAGCCCCCCUCAAGAUGAGAUAUCCCAUCCGAAAGGAGUAAACCCCCUUGAAGACGACGAGGUCGAUAGGGCAGAGGUGGAAGUGUGGUAACACAUGGAGCUGACUGCUACUAAUAGGGUGAGGGCUUGACCA
RNAcentral lists this ribosomal RNA (1337 nucleotides) under metagenome. RNAcentral describes it as "bacterial LSU rRNA". It matches the Rfam family "Bacterial large subunit ribosomal RNA", at positions 1561 to 2925 of the family's 2925-position model. The record is from RNAcentral.